GAGUCCCCCGAGGCCCGCCCUCAGUGUGUCUUACUCCAUUUUGAAGUCCCUGCCAUGCGGCAACACCUCAGUCACCUCACCACGGGCAUCAAGGGAAGUAGAAGGGUCCCGUUCCGCCAGCAGGGGGCGGCAGAGUUGCACUCAGGCAAGCCACGCCUUUCUCAUCCUUCAAAGCUCCUGCAGGGGUCAGCCUGACUACGAAGCCUCUCCCUCCCUCCUGCCAGAGCUGGCCUCUCUUGACUGCCUAUUGGCUAAUUCUUCCUGGACACGGUUUCUGGCCGAUGACUACAAAGUUGCAAAGUGUCUGAGAUGCGGCUGGACAGCACCUGUAUUUCCCAAGAUGGCUACACAAAUAAAAGAACCCUGCUGGGAUCCAUGGUCUAGCAGGAAA
This 391-nucleotide long non-coding RNA is filed under the name Mus pahari (shrew mouse). RNAcentral describes it as "lncRNA (MGP_PahariEiJ_G0005302.1)". Lineage: Eukaryota; Metazoa; Chordata; Mammalia; Rodentia; Muridae. The record is from RNAcentral.